UAUGAAGUUAGCGGCGGACGGGUGAGUAACACGUGGGUAACCUGCCCAUAAGACUGGGAUAACUCCGGGAAACCGGGGCUAAUACCGGAUAACAUUUUGAACCGCAUGGUUCGAAAUUGAAAGGCGGCUUCGGCUGUCACUUAUGGAUGGACCCGCGUCGCAUUAGCUAGUUGGUGAGGUAACGGCUCACCAAGGCAACGAUGCGUAGCCGACCUGAGAGGGUGAUCGGCCACACUGGGACUGAGACACGGCCCAGACUCCUACGGGAGGCAGCAGUAGGGAAUCUUCCGCAAUGGACGAAAGUCUGACGGAGCAACGCCGCGUGAGUGAUGAAGGCUUUCGGGUCGUAAAACUCUGUUGUUAGGGAAGAACAAGUGCUAGUUGAAUAAGCUGGCACCUUGACGGUACCUAACCAGAAAGCCACGGCUAACUACGUGCCAGCAGCCGCGGUAAUACGUAGGUGGCAAGCGUUAUCCGGAAUUAUUGGGCGUAAAGCGCGCGCAGGUGGUUUCUUAAGUCUGAUGUGAAAGCCCACGGCUCAACCGUGGAGGGUCAUUGGAAACUGGGAGACUUGAGUGC
Molecule: ribosomal RNA, 579 nt
Filed under: Bacillus cereus
Lineage: Bacteria; Bacillati; Bacillota; Bacilli; Caryophanales; Bacillaceae
Description: bacterial SSU rRNA
Rfam family: Bacterial small subunit ribosomal RNA
Source: RNAcentral